GAUUGUAGGCUGAAACUCGCCUACAUGAAGCUGGAGUUACUAGUAAUCGCAGAUCAGAAUGCUGCGGUGAAUGCGUUCCCGGGUCUUGUACACACCGCCCGUCACACCACGGGAGUUGGAGACGCCCAAAGCCGAUUAUCUAAUCUUUUGGAAGAAGUCGUCGAAGGUGGAAUCAAUAACUGGGGUGAAGUCGUAACAAGGUAGCCGUAUCGGAAGGUGCGGCUGGAUCACCUCCUUUCUA
RNAcentral lists this ribosomal RNA (241 nucleotides) under Clostridioides difficile. RNAcentral describes it as "partial 16S ribosomal RNA". It matches the Rfam family "Bacterial small subunit ribosomal RNA", at positions 1296 to 1533 of the family's 1533-position model. Lineage: Bacteria; Bacillati; Bacillota; Clostridia; Peptostreptococcales; Peptostreptococcaceae. The record is from RNAcentral.